RNAcentral lists this ribosomal RNA (253 nucleotides) under uncultured bacterium. Its description in RNAcentral is "partial 16S ribosomal RNA". It matches the Rfam family "Bacterial small subunit ribosomal RNA", at positions 524 to 776 of the family's 1533-position model. The record is from RNAcentral.
UACGAGGGGGGCUAGUGUUGUUCGGAAUCACUGGGCGUAAAGGGUGCGUAGGCGGGCGUUUAAGUUAGGUGUUUAAUCCCGGGGCCCAACCCCGGACCGGCACCUAAAACUGGACGUCUUGAAUAGUGGAGAGGUCGGUGGAAUUGGAGGUGUAGCGGUGGAAUGCGUAGAGAUCUCCAAGAACACCAGUGGCGAAGGCGGCUCACUGGCCCGGUACUGACGCUGAGGUGCGAAAGCGUGGGGAGCAAACAGG